Molecule: long non-coding RNA, 1611 nt
Organism: Dicentrarchus labrax (European seabass)
Lineage: Eukaryota; Metazoa; Chordata; Actinopteri; Moronidae
Source: Ensembl
CUGCGCUCUACGGAGGGGGUCGGGGUCGUCGUGGUGGUGGUGGGGGCAGGGGUCGUCGUGGUGGUGGGGGGCAGGGGUCGUCGUGGUGGUGGUGGGGGGGGGGUGGUCGUCGUCGUGGUGGGGGCAGGGGUCGUCGUCGUGGUGGGGGGCAGGGGUCGUCGUCGUGGUGGGGGCAGGGGUCGUCGUGGUGGGGGCAGGGGUCGUCGUCGUGGUGGGGGCAGGGGUCGUCGUCGUGGUGGGGGCAGGGGUCGUCGUCGUGGUGGGGGGGCAGGGGUCGUCGUCCGUGGUGGGGGGGGCAGGGGUCGUCGUCGUGGUGGGGGCAGGGGUCGUCGUCGUCGUGGUGGGGGCAGGGGUCGUCGUCGUGGUGGGGGGCAGGGGUCGUCGUGGUGGGGGCAGGGGUCGUCGUGGUGGGGGCAGGGGUCGUCGUGGUGGGGGGCAGGGGUCGUCGUGGUGGGGGCAGGGGUCGUCGUGGUGGGGGCAGGGGUCGUCGUGGUGGGGGGCAGGGGUCGUCGUGGUGGGGGCAGGGGCGGUCGUGGUGGGGGCAGGGGUCGUCGUGGUGGGGGCAGGGGUCGCCGUGGUGGGGGCAGGGGUCGUCGUGGUGGGGGCAGGGGUCGUCGUGGUGGGGGCAGGGGUCGUCGUGGUGGGGGCAGGGGUCGUCGUGGUGGGGGCAGGGGUCGUCGUGGUGGGGGGCAGGGGUCGUCGUGGUGGGGGCAGGGGUCGUCGUGGUGGGGGCAGGGGUCGUCGUGGUGGGGGCAGGGGUCGUCGUGGUGGGGGCAGGGGUCGUCGUGGUGGGGGCAGGGGUCGUCGUGGUGGGGGGCAGGGGUCGUCGUGGUGGGGGCAGGGGUCGUCGUGGUGGGGGCAGGGGUCGUCGUGGUGGGGGGCAGGGGUCGUCGUGGUGGGGGCAGGGGCUCGUGGUGGGGGGGGCAGGGGUCGUCGUGGUGGGGGCAGGGGUCGUCGUGGUGGGGGCAGGGGUCGUCGUGGUGGGGGCAGGGGUCGUCGUGGUGGGGGCAGGGGUCGUCGUGGUGGGGGCAGGGGUCGCCGUGGUGGGGGCAGGGGUCGUCGUGGUGGGGGCAGGGGUCGUCGUGGUGGGGGCAGGGGUCGUCGUGGUGGGGGGCAGGGGUCGUCGUGGUGGGGGCAGGGGUCGUCGUGGUGGGGGCAGGGGUCGUCGUGGUGGGGGCAGGGGUCGUCGUGGUGGAAGGAGUGUUGGUCGUCGUCGUGGUGGAGGCAGGGGUCGUCGUGGUGGAGGCAGGGGUCGUCGUGGUGGAGGCAGGGGUCGUCGUGGUGGAGGCAGGGGUCGUCGUGGUGGAGGCAGGGGUCGUCGUGGUGGAGGCAGGGGUCUGUGUGGUGGAGGCAGGGGGUCGCUCGUGGUGGAGGCAGGGGUCGCUGGUCGUGGUGGAGGCAGGGGUCGUCGUGGUGGGAGUGGUGGAAGGAGUGUUGGUCGUCGUCGUGGUUGAGGCAACACUGGUCGUCGUUGAGCCCGCGCUCGUGGUGGAAGGAGUGUUAGACGUGGUGGAGGGGGGGGCUGGUCGUUGUGGUGAAAGCCAUGCUGGUUGUUGUGGAGGAGGGGGCGCUGGUCAAUGUGGUGGAGGAGGGGGCGCUAGGCGUUGUUGA